GACGAACGCUGGCGGCGUGCCUAAUACAUGCAAGUAGAACGCACAGUUUAUACCGUAGCUUGCUACACCAUAGACUGUGAGUUGCGAACGGGUGAGUAACGCGUAGGUAACCUGCCUGGUAGCGGGGGAUAACUAUUGGAAACGAUAGCUAAUACCGCAUAAUAUUGAUUAUUGCAUGAUAAUUGAUUGAAAGAUGCUAUUGCAUCACUACCAGAUGGACCUGCGUUGUAUUAGCUAGUAGGUGGGGUAACGGCUCACCUAGGCGACGAUACAUAGCCGACCUGAGAGGGUGAUCGGCCACACUGGGACUGAGACACGGCCCAGAAUCCUACGGGAGGGAGCAGUAGGGAAUCUUCGGCAAUGGAAGAAAGUCUGACCGAGCAACGCCGCGUGAGUGAAGAAGGUUUUCGGAUCGUAAAGCUCUGUUGUAAGAGAAGAACGGGUGUGAGAGUGGAAAGUUCACACUGUGACGGUAUCUUACCAGAAAGGGACGGCUAACUACGUG
RNAcentral lists this ribosomal RNA (505 nucleotides) under uncultured bacterium. Its description in RNAcentral is "partial 16S ribosomal RNA". It matches the Rfam family "Bacterial small subunit ribosomal RNA", at positions 28 to 507 of the family's 1533-position model. The record is from RNAcentral.